This 445-nucleotide long non-coding RNA is filed under the name Vulpes vulpes (red fox). Its description in RNAcentral is "lncRNA (ENSVVUG00000009240.1)". The record is from RNAcentral. Lineage: Eukaryota; Metazoa; Chordata; Mammalia; Carnivora; Canidae.
AAACCACGACAAUAGAAACUCUAUUGUGACUCAAGUGAAAACCAUGGCAUUCAUCAUUGAUGAAGCUUACAGAGUUACUGGCUUCAAGCUCACCAUGCAUGACAAGGGAAAAUGUUAACUGGGGCCAGUGAGAAAGGAUGCCUUACAUUGAGAGAUGAUCCCAUUUAGGAUUGAGGCGAGAGUCCGACCUGGUGGAAGCACAGAAGACCCAAUAGGGCAAGUGGCCCCAAAGCCGUGCCGUGGUACACAAAGAGCCAGACGAGGGCUACACCAAGGGGCAUGAGCAAAGGAGUCCAACGCCAGGAAGCAGGGCCGACAGAGACCCGCGUCCAGAUGCUAGCUGCAAAGGGCAAUUUGGCAGGAUCCGGGGCCUGAAACGGCAGGCUGAGGGGAAGUACCCCCAGCACAACUGGAGCACCCGGAUCCUCUGCCCGGGACGGUCCAC